GGAGAUGUGGCUCAGUGAGUAGAGCACUUGCCUAGCUAGCAUGCUCGAGGCCCUGGGUUCCAUCCCCAGCACUGCA
Molecule: transfer RNA, 76 nt
Filed under: Mus musculus (house mouse)
Lineage: Eukaryota; Metazoa; Chordata; Mammalia; Rodentia; Muridae
Description: tRNA-Ala
Source: RNAcentral